UGGGGAAUCUUGGACAAUGGGGGAAACCCUGAUCCAGCCAUGCCGCGUGAUCGAUGAAGGCCUUAGGGUUGUAAAGAUCUUUCAGCUGGGAAGAUAAUGACUGUACCAGCAGAAGAAGCCCCGGCUAACUCCGUGCCAGCAGCCGCGGUAAUACGGAGGGGGCUAGCGUUGUUCGGAAUUACUGGGCGUAAAGCGCACGUAGGCGGAUCAGUCAGUCAGGGGUGAAAUCCCGGGGCUCAACCCCGGAACUGCCUUUGAUACUGCUGGUCUUGAGGUCGAGAGAGGUGAGUGGAAUUCCGCGUGUAGAGGUGAAAUUCGUAGAUAUUCGGAGGAACACCAGUGGCGAAGGCGGCUCACUGGCUCGAUACUGACGCUGUGGUGCGAAAGCGUGGGGAGCAAACAGG
Molecule: ribosomal RNA, 404 nt
Filed under: bacterium
Lineage: Bacteria
Description: partial 16S ribosomal RNA
Rfam family: Bacterial small subunit ribosomal RNA
Source: RNAcentral